CAACAACAAUGGAGUUCUGGGGAGCUGAAGUGAAGCCAGGGGCACCUCUCACGGUGAGGCCUGAAGACGACCACCUCAUCCACAUCUCUCAGGCGUCGAUUGACGGUAAGGUGAAAACGGGAGAACCUAUUGUC
This is a non-coding RNA of Camelina sativa (false flax), 134 nucleotides long. The record is from RefSeq and is a predicted model, not a curated record. NCBI's taxonomy places the organism in Eukaryota, Viridiplantae, Streptophyta, Magnoliopsida, Brassicales, Brassicaceae.